This 483-nucleotide ribosomal RNA is filed under the name uncultured bacterium. RNAcentral describes it as "partial 16S ribosomal RNA". It matches the Rfam family "Bacterial small subunit ribosomal RNA", at positions 28 to 507 of the family's 1533-position model. The record is from RNAcentral.
GACGAACGCUGGCGGCGUGCUUAACACAUGCAAGUCGAACGCUGAAGCUCAUCUUUUGUUGGGUGGAUGAGUGGCGAACGGGUGAGUAACACGUGAGUAACCUGCCCCCUUCUUUGGGAUAACGCCCGGAAACGGGUGCUAAUACUGGAUAUUCACUGGUCUUCGCAUGGGGGUUGGUGGAAAGGGUUUUUCUGGUGGGGGAUGGGCUCGCGGCCUAUCAGCUUGUUGGUGGGGUGAUGGCCUACCAAGGCUUUGACGGGUAGCCGGCCUGAGAGGGUGACCGGUCACAUUGGGACUGAGAUACGGCCCAGACUCCUACGGGAGGCAGCAGUGGGGAAUAUUGCACAAUGGGCGCAAGCCUGAUGCAGCGACGCCGCGUGAGGGAUGGAGGCCUUCGGGUUGUGAACCUCUUUCGCUCAUGGUCAAGCCGCAACAAUGGUUGUGGUGAGGGUAGUGGGUAAAGAAGCGCCGGCUAACUACGUG